Brassica napus (rape) is the source of this 4551-nucleotide long non-coding RNA. RefSeq lists it as uncharacterized. The transcript is spliced from 2 exons. Lineage: Eukaryota; Viridiplantae; Streptophyta; Magnoliopsida; Brassicales; Brassicaceae. The record is from RefSeq and is a predicted model, not a curated record.
AUCCCCUCAAACAAAAUUAUAUUCACCGUUUAAGUUGGUCACCUAUAAAAUUUUUAAAUACUAAAAAUAUCUGGAUUUUUUAUAAACUUUAAUUAUUAAUUUAGAUUUCCGCAUAGGAUGAUCAUAACAAAAACUUACUUUAUUCAUAAAAACAUCGUAGGUUUGGUUUUUAUAUAUGAUGAUUCACAAUAUUAAAUAUAUUAUAGUGUAGAUUAUUCAAAAUUUUAAGAUACUUAUAGUGUUACUAUAUUUUAGAUUUAUAUUAAAAAAUAAUAUAGUAUUCAUAUUUUUUAUAGAAGCCAAAUACUUAAAAGAUAGCACAAACAAACUGUUUUUUUUUUUAUGUUAACUGAAUCUCAAAAAGCAACACUUGCAGGCUUAAACACUAGUAAAAAACUUUCGUAUAGCCACUACAACUCUGUGGCUAUAGAGGAGAAAUUCGUGGCUUGGGAGAGAAGAGCCACGGUUUUGGAAAGGAGAAUUACCGUGGCUAUAGCCUCGUGGCUGGAACUAAACCGUGGCUUUUCGUGGCUACUAGCCACGCUUUUCCCACGCUUCUUUUCGUGGCUUAAAUAGCCACGCUAAUAACUCCUUUAGCGUUGCUAGUUUUGGUUUUACAACUUAUUUAAAGUGGCUGUCGUUACCACGGUUUUGCCACUAUAUAUUCGUGGCUUUAAAAAGCCACGAUUUUGUUUUUUAUAAACGUGGUAUUGGUUAGCCACGUUAAUAACCAUUUUUGUAAAUGGUUUUCUUCUUUGAUUUGUUUUAAUUUUCCAAAUUCAAAAUUUUAUAUUUUCAUUCAAAUAUUAAAACAUUGCACAUAUAAUUAAAACAGAAAUUGCAUAUAUAUAAAAGAGUAGGUUCAAUAUUACACAAACUUAGAUAAUUAUACAAGGAAGAAGAGUUUUAAAGAGUCUAAGAAGACUCUACAAAAGAUGAGCUAGAGUUUGAUGAGCUUUGUUACAAAAGAGAAGACAUGAACCUACUUAGGGCUGAGGAGUUGGGACUUGGGGCUGAGCAUAAGUCUGUUCAGUAGGUGCUUGUGGGGGACGAAGCAUUUGGAGGAGCUGAUUGAUUGCAUCUCUUGUUGAUGCAAACUCCUGCUUCAUCUCGGACACAUCCUGCUUCACCUCAGACACGUCCUCCCUCACACUUUGGAGGCUUGUCUCAAGACCUCCCACCCGCAUCUCCAGCUCCAGGUUGCGCGCAAGACCAUUAGGGACGCGUGAAGAAGGUGCUUGCUCCCUGUAUUGGGCACUGCCGAGUCCAUAAACAUGCCCCCUCUUACCCUUAGCAUUCUGUUGAACAUAACAGAAAACAAUUUUAAUAAAAGCUUUCUUCACUGUAAAUAAACAGAACAUGCACAGCUCUAAGUCAUAUCUAAUUCUACCCGCAAAUAACCAACCACAUUCUUAAGCAGCUCUAAGUCAUCCAAAUCCACAUACAAAUCAGAACAUAAAACAACUGAAACCUAGUGUAUGAAAGAUACCUUUAGAUAAGCUUUGUUUAUCUUGAGGCGAGAAGGAGUAGAUGAUGCACUUGGACUCCCGGGUGAUCCGUCAGUGUUAGAGAGUUGUGUGGCUUCCAUCUCGGCUUGAGUAACCAACUCUUCAGCACGGUAGUCCACAAAAGUUCCAUCUGGUCUGGUGUGUGUCGCCCUAACUAGGUCGGUGAAUGAUGGCCUCUCAUUAGUACCAGAAGCCACCAUCUGCACAAAAGGAAAAUAAUUACAGUAGAUUAGAAAAAAAAAAGAACAUUAUUAAGAGUAUAGACAUGGAAAGAUACCAUGUUAUACUCAAUCCUUGCAAAAGACCGAGGUCCUGCAUUAUGCUUGUGGCAGCCUUUACCCACAGGAUCAGACUUGCGAGAUUUUGCAGCCUUCUUGCUCUUCUUUUUAGCUGCCUCGGUCGCCCAAUACUCUAACAGGAGAGUCCAGUCAGCUUCAUUGAUGUAUACUUUGGCUUCUUAUGUUGCCUCUUCUUCUUGCUUAUCCUUUCACCAAUGGUUGUCCACGUUUCUUUCUUCCAAAGACCGUAGACUAAGUCAUUAAACUCAGGGUCCCAAUAGAAAUUUUGCUACAAAAGAAAGAAAAACAGUUAGCGAUUUUAAAACAUGUUAACAGCAUAUACAAUGUAUACUAGUCACUUACCACAAAGGUUUGCCACCAUGAUUCCCUCCUUUCAUCAGGAACAGUCCUCCAACUCUUCCAAGGCCCCAUGUAGUACGCUUGCCAAGUUGCCCGAAUGAAAGAGUUGACACAUGGGUCAAUACCAAACCUAAAUCGAUAACCAACAUCAGUAACAGAAACAAUACAUCACAAAAAAUCCUAAAAAAUAAACAAUCAUCGCUAACAAUCCUAAACAGAAACUAUCCUAAGCAAUCACAGCCAUAAAACAAUUAACAUAAACUAUUUUAGUCUAAGAAAGAGAUGGAGACCAAAUGUAAUCUUACCAUAAAGCUCCAUUGAUUUUAUCUGGAUGGAGAUGAGGCUGUGCUAGCCUAGCAGGUGAAUUGAGCAUGGCAUUGAGAGUCAUCUGCGGGUAGCUAUUGGAACGAGAAGAGGAAGCAGCACGGUUCGAAGCCGGUCCAGUAGCACCAGGAGGCAUAGAAGCCGGUCCAGUAGCACCAGGAGGCAUAGGAGGAGGUACUCUUGGUGAGUUCAUCUGUUAACAACCAAUGACAAAGAAACAUUAGUAUACAAACAAAUAUAAACAGAGACAAAGCGAAACAAAAGAGACAGAGAGAAGAACAUGAGAAAUUUAGACAAUUUUUUGGUCACAAGAACACUAACUAGACAGAGACAAAACCCCUAAUCGAAACCCAAGUUUGGAACGAAAUCAAAACCCUAGAUUGGAACGAAAUCGAAACCUUAAAUUGCAUGUGAAAUCGAAACACACACAGAAGCGAAGAAAUCAAAACCCUAGAACAUCUAAUCGAUUCGGGAUCCUAAGAUUUCUGAUUUAGCGGAGGAGAGAAAGGGGUUACCUUGAGAAAUGAGAGACGGGAGACGGUGACGCUUGGAAUGGGAGACGGUGACGCUUGGAAUGGGAGACUUGAAACCGGAGAAGACGACGCGUUUCGUCAGUCGCGAGUCGAGAGAGAGUUUCGGUUUCUCUUCUGUGCUAAGUGUUAGAAGCAAGAGGAAAACCAAUAUAAACUCUUUCAGCAGAGCCACGAAAACAGCGUGGCAGAUCGUGGCUUGGUUUUAGCAUUAACCGCGAAAUGUCAAAUAAUUGGAGCCACAACCGAAUAAAUUGGAGGCAAACCAAUUGGCAAACCAAAAUUUCCAAUAAGCCACGACAAUGCCACAAAAAUGUAGUGGCUAUUUUUAAUAUAAACCGCGAAACUAAAAAUAAUUGGAGCCAGAACCAAAUACAUUGGAGGCAAACCAAUUGGUUUUUUCCAAUUUUCACAUCCACUAAAAAGCCACGAAAUAAGCGUGGCUUAUUUCAAAACCCGAAACCACGAACAUCUAACACCUAAACUAUAAUCCCUAAACCCUUUCCCUCAACCUUAUACUCACACAACAACUUACAUACAUAUUCCAAAAAUCUUACAAUCUAUUUUAAAACCUUACAAUAUUUUUUAAAACCAUAUAUUUUACAACCUUACCAUUUAUUUUACAUCUCACAAUAUAUUUCACAACCUUACAACUUAUUUUUCAACCUUACAACUUAUUUUACAACCUUACAACUUAUUUUUAACCUUAAAACAUAUCUUACUACCUUAAACACAUAUUUUACAGUCUUGGAAUAUAGUUUUCUAUUCUGAAUCAUCAUCUGAAUCACGGUCUGCUUCUACAUCACCAUCAGAUACAUAUUCAUCGUUUGGAGGAUUCACCGGAGCAAUAUCAUAAUCAGACACAUCAUCAACAACAUGUGUCUCCACCCGUAACAAUGAACUUUCAGCAACCUGAUCACGUCUAUCAUCUUGCCAUGCCGUUAACGCAAUUUCUGGUGUUUCACGGAUUCCUCGGGGAAUAAUUUUUGCGCAUGCCCACCAAUCAUCGACUGACUGUCGACGUACCCGUGGAUAAGGAAUAAAACAUGCUUGAUCACAAUUACCUGUUUAUAGUACAAUAACAUCAUAGUUUCAUCAAUAAUAUCAAAUCCCAAAGAAAUAAUUAUAUAUUUUUCACUUACCUGGUAAUACAAAAGGAUCAUAUUUUGCAUAUUGUCUUCGUGGUGAGACAUCAACAAGACCAAAUGGAUGUAUUCUCAUACCGCGAUUUGUUGUGUUGUCAAACCACGAACAUUUAAAAACCAUGACUUUCAAGCCAACAUCACCAUGAUACUCUACCAUCAUGAUCUCUUGUACAAGACCAUAGUAGUCUGUCUCGUUGGUUCCAGGUACACAUACACCAUAAUGUUGAGUUCUCUUAUUUUGACCAUGGUUAUGAGUGUGGAAAGUGUAUCCACGUGUGUGGUAUAUUGGCCAAGAUCUGUAACUACGCCUUGGACCUUGUACAAAAUCCAACAUCCACAUAGGAAAUGUGUAAAACUGAGUCGCAUCAUUAAUCUGUAAUACAAUAACAUUGUUAUAAAAUACAAA